AUAACAUACAACUUUCUCCUUUUUAGUAUUUAAUUACUUUUCCUAGUUAACAUGUAAGGACUCUACCUUUUACUUUGUUGCAUGAGAUUUCAUUAAAUAGAUUACUAUAAUUUAACUACUUAAGUUCUGUCAAAUAUCUGUGGCAUUUGAUACUGCAAAUAAUGUUAUAAUAACAUUUUCACAAAUAUAGCUUUUUCAUUCUGUGAUAGUCUUUCUUCAGGACCCAUUUCCAAAGCAGGUGUCUGAGGUAAGCCUGAGCUCUCCCCUAACGUCCACUACUUUUGACAAACUGCUUCCCAUUAGUUUAUACAAUUUACUUCCUCCUCCAAUGUCAUAAAUGUCACUUUGUUUUGCUUUACUGCUUUGUUUUGUUUUAUAAGAUUCAAGCUUUACUGUGUAGCGUAGGGUGACCUCAGACUUUCAUUCCCUCAUCCUCCAAGUAGCUGGGCCUACGGGCACAUGCCACCUCAUCUGGCUAGAAGCCAUCAGUGUUAUAAUGUCCUUUCCAAUAUUUAACACUAAAAUUGACACCUUGUAUUCACCAGGUACAUGACUAGCAAUGAUUGGAGAUCUUUGCUUCUAAUGCCACCAUCCUCAUUACAAACCUGAGAAAUGACUGUUAGCUACCCUCUGUUCAGAUGAGGGUGUCAAAGCUCAGAAGUUACAGAGCUGAGGUCAUACAGCAGCUAAGUAUGCAAGCCUGGAUGGAAUCCAGACCCUAACCUGUGGCUGUCCUGCCACGUCCCUCCUCCCCUCAGCUUCUACAGAAGAUGCAGUGAGUCCAUCCCCCACAUAUCAUUUAUCAAUCGUGUGUCUGCACAGCUUUCUUCCGGGAGACCCACAUCCCAUCCUGUUGUCUUCACCAAGACAUCAGUUUAUAGAAGACUGUUGCCCUUAUUUUCUUCCUCCUCCUUCCUGCUAACAUGAGGGAAUAAAGCAUUUUCUACACCUUUUCAUCAUCUUUUCACAUCACUCAUUCUUGUGAUUUAGCACCUUGAUUGGAUUCAAAUGUCCUGUCAUGAAUGACAAUGGGCUCAGAAAAACAUCAUUAUCUGACCAGUUACCAAGAAUAAACUUAUCUGGUUGGUUGGUUGAA
Long non-coding RNA from Mesocricetus auratus (golden hamster), 1096 nucleotides. RefSeq lists it as uncharacterized. The record is from RefSeq and is a predicted model, not a curated record. The transcript has 2 exons. Lineage: Eukaryota; Metazoa; Chordata; Mammalia; Rodentia; Cricetidae.